AUGAACGCUGGCGGCGUGCUUAACACAUGCAAGUCGAACGGUGAACACGGAGCUUGCUCUGUGGGAUCAGUGGCGAACGGGUGAGUAACACGUGAGCAACCUGCCCCUGACUCUGGGAUAAGCGCUGGAAACGGCGUCUAAUACUGGAUACGAGUCGCGACCGCAUGGUCAGUGGCUGGAAAGAAUUUUGGUUGGGGAUGGGCUCGCGGCCUAUCAGCUUGUUGGUGAGGUAAUGGCUCACCAAGGCGUCGACGGGUAGCCGGCCUGAGAGGGUGACCGGCCACACUGGGACUGAGACACGGCCCAGACUCCUACGGGAGGCAGCAGUGGGGAAUAUUGCACAAUGGGCGCAAGCCUGAUGCAGCAACGCCGCGUGAGGGAUGACGGCCUUCGGGUUGUAAACCUCUUUUAGCAGGGAAGAAGCGAAAGUGACGGUACCUGCAGAAAAAGCGCCGGCUAACUACGUGCCAGCAGCCGCGGUAAUACGUAGGGCGCAAGCGUUAUCCGGAAUUAUUGGGCGUAAAGAGCUCGUAGGCGGUUUGUCGCGUCUGCUGUGAAAUCCCGAGGCUCAACCUCGGGCCUGCAGUGGGUACGGGCAGACUAGAGUGCGGUAGGGGAGAUUGGAAUUCCUGGUGUAGCGGUGGAAUGCGCAGAUAUCAGGAGGAACACCGAUGGCGAAGGCAGAUCUCUGGGCCGUAACUGACGCUGAGGAGCGAAAGGGUGGGGAGCAAACAGGCUUAGAUACCCUGGUAGUCCACCCCGUAAACGUUGGGAACUAGUUG
RNAcentral lists this ribosomal RNA (782 nucleotides) under Microbacterium sp. RNAcentral's name for it is "bacterial SSU rRNA". It matches the Rfam family "Bacterial small subunit ribosomal RNA", at positions 29 to 822 of the family's 1533-position model. Lineage: Bacteria; Bacillati; Actinomycetota; Actinomycetes; Micrococcales; Microbacteriaceae. The record is from RNAcentral.